AGUGAACGCUGGCGGUAGGCCUUACACAUGCAAGUCGAACGGCAGCACAGUAAGAGCUUGCUCUUACGGGCGGCGAGUGGCGGACGGGUGCGGAAUAUAUCGGAAGCUACGUUUUAGCGGGGGGUAAGGUGGGGAAACUUACGCUAAGACCGCAUACGACCUGCGGGUGAAAGCAGGGGAACGUUGGACCUUGCGCGUUUGAAUGAGCCGAUGUCGGAUUAGCUAGUUGGCGGGGUAAAGGCCCACCAAGGCGACGAUCCGUAGCUGGUCUGAGAGGACGAUCAGCCACACUGGAACUGAGACACGGUCCAGACUCCUACGGGAGGCAGCAGUGGGGAAUAUUGGACAAUGGGCGCAAGCCUGAUCCAGCCAUACCGCGUGGGUGAAGAAGGCCUUCGGGUUGUAAAGCCCUUUUGUUGGGAAAGAAAAGCAGCAGGUUAAUACCCCGCUGUACUGACGGUACCCGAAGAAUAAGCACCGGCUAACUUCGUG
RNAcentral lists this ribosomal RNA (492 nucleotides) under uncultured bacterium. Its description in RNAcentral is "partial 16S ribosomal RNA". It matches the Rfam family "Bacterial small subunit ribosomal RNA", at positions 29 to 507 of the family's 1533-position model. The record is from RNAcentral.